AAUAGUUAAGUGUACAGAUAAGAAACAUAAUGCUUUAUGAAGCCAGCGUAAGUGUGUUAAAAUGUUCUCUGACAGCAUCCAGUUUGUGGCUGAAAGCUCAUAUCUGACUGACUGCAAGUCCAUUUUGACAACUUAACAGUAAUUCAAGACUAUUUCAGACCCUCUGGCCUUGUCACUUCUUUUCACUCUCAGCAAUAAUGCCAAUGCUCACUUUUUGCUAUUCCAGCAGAAUACAAUUAUGACAUCAUAUGCAUUUUUAUUCCUUUAACUCUUAUCCUUCCAAAGCACUUCAGAAGGAUCAAGGAUCCUUCUGGACCCACUGCAACAGCUCCAAGUCUUACUUAUGCUGGGUGCCCCAGAACUGAACACAGAACUGAAGCCCAUUGAAGGGGGUGAUUAUGCAGCUCUAAAAGAUGCAUUCCAGCCACCACAACUGAAGAACCUUUCAUAGCAGAAAAUCUGCCUUGGAUUGCAAGCAACAGCAAAAUGAGUUCAGCACUGGGAUGGGAUUGUUAAACUACCACUCUAUGGCAUAUAAUAAAGACUGUGCCAUCUGCCCUUCAGAGCGUGCCUCUUUUUAUGGUAUGCAAGGUGACACGCAGAUCUGCCUGCUGCAGGAAUCCACUAUACGGAGAGGAAGCAAAUGAGGUUGGCACAGAAACAACACGGAAAGAGAAGUCAAAGAGCAGGUCCCAUUAAUGCUACAGCUUGGUUAUUCAUUAGUGAAUUUCCUAAAAAAGCGAGAACAUAUAGAAACGGAUAAUACCGUACAGAAGUAAAAGGGAGAAAAGGGGUAGAGGAAAAUACAGAGUAAAUUUGCACAGAAAACCAGCAGGGAAUAAAGGCUCCUGCGCAAAAACAGGCAUGAAAGAAGAGGCAAAACAAUACAGAGAUGCUGCUCCAUAUUUUAAUUACAACUUAUCUGCAGGUAACAACCUUCUUGCUACUGUGGCUUUCACACUGAAUAGUCAGAGAUCAAGUCUAAUACUCAUGCAAGAAGAAUUGCUUUCUGAAAGAAGUACAGAAGAACUGCUGAAUGACAGAGCUUUCUUUCAUAUAUCCUAAGUUCAAUAACCAGAGACUGGUCGGAUUCCAAAAAUUCUCUAAGAAAACUUAAUUUUACAUUUAAAAGAACAUAUGCAGUCCAUUUUGGGAAGCUAAUCAGUAAAGUGCAUAAAGCAGAAAGUGGAAAUUUAACGUCAGUGCUAUCCUAGUCUGCAUCUGGAGCCCAUGUUGGUGUCAGUAGGAAAGCAACGACUUCUGCCAAAAGCUGAAUUCUGCCACAGUUACAGUAUACUGCUUAUAUGCAAUAAUGUAAUAACACCUUUUUAAUUAUAUCUUUUUAGUUAGAAAUUAUUUCCAUAGCAGAAAACCACGCUUGUUCAUUGAACCUGCCUUGUAACAAUAGCAUGAAAAAAUGCAUCCCUAAGAUAAACAUAACAAGGUUUCCAAUUCACCUAUGAAAAGUGAGGAAAAAUAAGUUUUUAUUUUUUUUAAGUCUCUGUUUUAAUGUGCUCCUAUUCUCAGAAACAAUAAUUAUUUUGACCUUAUGACUAAACAAGGGGAAAAGCUGUACUUAGGACCUUCUAAAACAGAAUACUUUAACACACUGAAUAACAAUAA
This is a non-coding RNA of Meleagris gallopavo (turkey), 1623 nucleotides long. NCBI's taxonomy places the organism in Eukaryota, Metazoa, Chordata, Aves, Galliformes, Phasianidae. The record is from RefSeq and is a predicted model, not a curated record.